AGUAAUUUUGAACUUAGAAGUCAGGAUGAUUCACACCGGAUAUAAAGAAAAUGAAUUUAUUUUUAAUUCCAACAAAAUGAAUUUAAAAAAAAAAAAAAACAUUUGUAAAUUUAGUUAUUAAAUUUAUAUGCAUUGCAUAUUUAUUUAAUUUAGCAUUCAAGUAUUUUUCAUGAAAUAUUUAUUUAGCAAACCAUGAAAUAUUUAUUACAGUCCCGAUAUAUUAUCUAUGUUCUUAAUAGCCACCCUAUAUCAUGAUUAUUUUUUUUAAGCAUACAUACCAUUAUGCAGACAAUAAAAUCCUUCCAUAUCUCAUCCUCAAUCCACUACUCAUCAAUGGUGCUACACUACUCACCAAUCCACUACUCCCACCACCAACGUUAACACCCACUACUCCCUCCCACUACACCCACUACACCCACCCCACUACUCCCACUUUUUUUUAAAAAAAACAAUCACACUUCUACACGUUAAUACCUCCACUUCGAUCAGUGUAUGCCGUUCUCAGUUUUAUUUUUAUUUCUUUCGGUCUUGUUUUCAUGAAGAUAAUCUUCUAACUUUUGCAACCCUUUCCUGCAACAACAAUUUGGCAGAAGAACUCCCAAAAUUCAAUUCCUCAAGGUUUUACCUUUCACCUCCUUUACUUGUUUCUUUAUAUUCAACAUCACAGCAGGAUAAAUUCACAAACGAAUAUACACACAUUCAUUAAAGCACCAGUAAAUUCAUCACAUCAUUUUUUUUGUAAAGAUUGUAAAAACGAACUUUUUUAAGUUGUGUAUACAAAUGAAAAUACAAGUUAUUGUAUAUUAAGAAAGCAUGAAAAUUUCGAACUUGAGCUUGGAUUGUUGAAUGUUGAUUAUUGGGGGUGUACUUGCUGUGUGUGAGUCGAGAGGUCGAGGGAGGCAGGGGCACGGCGGCUGUGCCGCUGCUGCUCGGCCACGGUUGGAGAGAAGGAGGUGGGCUGGUCGGAGCUGGUCUGGGUGGAGGGUUGAGCGGAGAACGACGGCGGCGGUGGUGGCAGUUUGGUGGCUGCUACUCGCUGGGAAUUUGAGGGCGGCGAUGGCGGUACCAUCGGCCAAGGUUGAGCCGAGGAGAGGGAGGAGCGUCGGCGGCGGCUCAGCUGCUGCCGAUCAGACCCCAGGAGAGAGAGAGAUGGGAGACGGAGUCACCGGUCGGCGGCGGCUUUUGCUGCUGCAGUCGCCGGAAGGAAAGAGAAUGGAGGGGUCGAGGGUGAUGGUGAGGAUGACAGAGCGGCGCUCGUCGCCGGGGAUGGUGGUACGCAGCCGUGAAGUCCGAGAGAGAGGGAGAAGAGGAGGGGCGUCGAGAGAGGGGCGGCGUGUGUUGGUUUGUGUGUGUGGGGGCAACCUUGAGUGAAAUAAAGUCGAGGGAGUCGGGAGAGGGGUGACCGGCGACGCCUACCGCCGGAGGAGAGAAGAGGGCGAAGGGGGGUGCCUUGCAGCGCAGCUGCUGUGUGCUGUGUGCGUGUGUUUGUUUUGUGUGUGUUCUGAAUGUGUGUGUGCGUGUGAUUAAGAGAGGGAGGAGAAAGGUAAUAGGGUUUGGGGUUUUGGGCCUGGAUUGUUGAGCUUUGGCUAUUGGGCCGGAAAAUGGAGAAGGAAAGAGUGAAUGGGCUUAAGUUGUUGGGUCGAUUUUUAAUUUUAUUUAGCUGGGCCCGAUUUAUUUUAUUCAGUCUGGGCCAUUCCUAUUUUAUUGAGUUGGGCCUCAUCUUUUAAUUGGUAUGGGCUAUUAUUUAUUUAAGCAUGGGCUCUAUUUCAUCUAUUUAAAUGGCUUCCUUUAUUUUAUUUUAAUUAAUAGACUAAUAAUUAGUUUGAUUAAUUUAUUUUAAAGAAGAUUUGCAUAAUAAUAUAUAUUAUUAUUAUGUGCAUAUUUUAAGUAAAUUACUUAUUAUAUGCUUAAGUAUGAAAUGAUGCAUAUGCAUUUGCAUCAUGAUUUAAUUGGUUUUUAUUAUAAUUCCAAUUAUUAAAGAAAGUCGAGUAAGAAUAUUGUUGGUGUUCUUAACUCAAGAGAAUUGUUUUCAAUUAUUUAUUCAUUAAAUUUUGAAAACCCGGCUAAGUGAAUCAUAGAAUAUUAAGCACUACACCAUGACUUAAGAUUAGAUUCAAGAGACCUAUUAAGAAUAGAUUUCUUGUAGGCUUUGAGCAUCAGGAGGAUUAGCACUGCUAUUCCGAUUCAGAUAUAAGGUUAAACGACAGGCUUUGCCUA
Molecule: long non-coding RNA, 2217 nt
Filed under: Salvia miltiorrhiza (redroot sage)
Lineage: Eukaryota; Viridiplantae; Streptophyta; Magnoliopsida; Lamiales; Lamiaceae
Description: long non-coding RNA (SMIL_LNC000627)
Source: RNAcentral